Molecule: ribosomal RNA, 423 nt
Filed under: Triticum aestivum (bread wheat)
Lineage: Eukaryota; Viridiplantae; Streptophyta; Magnoliopsida; Poales; Poaceae
Description: partial small subunit ribosomal RNA
Source: RNAcentral
AUGGCGUCGCAGGGCCUGAUGGGCCCGCAACAUCGGGUGCCCAAUCGGGUGGUGGUGAGUGACCCGGGCUGGACCCCCAACGGUUCGCAGAGAAGGUUGGUGGUGCCAGCAGAGUUGGUGGAGCAUGCCGCAGAGAAGACGCCAGUUGGUGAGUUGGAAUUGGUCAAAAGUGGUGAGUUGGGCGUAUCGGAUGACAGCGACAAGGCGAAGGCUGAUGGUAGUGGACAGGGGCAGGCCGGGGAGGGUGAUUUGGAGGGUAGGGCUACCCAGGUGCCGGCGCAUCAGAUCCUAUCGCCCCGGGGCCCAGAGGUGGGAGAUUCGGCUGCCACCCACACAGAUGGAUGGGCGCCGAUAACUAAGUUGGGUGGGCCCCCUGUGCUUGGCCUGGUUUCAUUGGACACGCCCCCCAGGUUGAUUCAGUGA